CAAAGAUGGAAUGGAGACUUCUGCUUCUGGCCAAGUUGGAGUAAUAGGGACUAGAUUUGUCCUCCACCUUAAACAACUAAGAAACUGGAAAAAGUAUUUUAAACUCUAGCUUCAACAUUGGAUAUAGUGCAGUACAGUACAUUGAUCCCUGAGAGAGAGAAAAUAGAAGAGAUGAGCCCUAUGAUUGCUCCAGUUUGCUGCCUGAGUUUGUCAACUGCAGAGCAGGGAAGGAGGACCCAGGCAGAGCCUGGUAGUAAGUUUGAAGAAGUCAGGGUGGCUAGACAUCACAGGACAGACUAGAGAAUAGGUUGCUGCACAGAGAGAAUGCCUUGGAUAUCUGUGUUCAAUCUUCAGCUAAGUACUUAUUAGUACAUGUAUUUGAGGAAAUUAUGCAAAGCAGGGCAAAGAACUUCCCAAAAGGAAUAAUCUCUGUAGCUCACACAGAGCUUGCAACACUUGGUGUUUCCAUCAGCUAGUGUGAAAAUCCCUUUUAAUAGAGGGAGCAUUGGUUAGAACAGGAGUCCCAAACCCCCAGCACUGGUCCAUGGCCUGUUAGGAAUGGGACCGCACAGCAGGAGGUGAGCAGCCAGCGAGAAAGCAUUACCGCCUGAGCUCAGCCUCCUGUCAGAUCAACGAUGGCAUUAGAUUAGCAUUGGAGCACAAACCCUAUUGUGAACUGUACAUGCCAGGGAUCUAGGUUGCAUGCUCCUUAUGAGACUCUAACUAGUGCCUGAUGAUCUGAGGUGGAACAGUUUCAUACUGAAACCACCCAAUUCCCAACCCCUACCACCCCACCCCCACCUUGUCUGUGGAAAAAUUGUCUUUCAUGCAACCAGUCCCUGGUGCCAAAUCUGUGGGAGAUCACUGGCUUAGAAUCUUCAAAAGAGUAUUGCCCCCAAUGUAAACUAUGGACUUUGUGUGAUAAUGACAUGUCAAUGUAAGUUCAUCAACUGUAACAAAUGUGCCAUUCUGGAGAGAGAUGUUGAUAGUCUAGGAGGCUAUGCAUGUGUGGAGGCAGGGGGUAUAUGGGAACUUUCUGUACUUCCUGCUCAAUUUUGCUGUGAAUCUGAAACUACUCUAAAAAAUAAGGUCUAUUUUCUUAAAGGUCAUUUUGCCUCCAUAGUGGGAAAGAAAAUAGCAGUUGACUAAUAGCUGCUCUUAUCCUGCCUAAAAAAAAUUAAAAAGCCAGCUUGGAAAGAUGAAAA
Molecule: long non-coding RNA, 1205 nt
Filed under: Homo sapiens (human)
Lineage: Eukaryota; Metazoa; Chordata; Mammalia; Primates; Hominidae
Description: non-protein coding lnc-PPIAL4G-11:1
Source: RNAcentral